AACUGCCUCUGAUACUGCUAAUGAUGACAACAAUGAUGGGGAUGAUGAUGACGAUGAUGACGAUGAUGAUGAUGAUGAUGCUGACAAUGAUGCAAAUGAUGAACCAAUCCACAAAAAGCCCAAAACCUUAUAAAAUUAAUUGGUCUUCCAGUGCCUAUCGCUAACGACCCUCCCCUUCCCCAUGAAACCACCGACGUCCUUGUACUUGCACGGCCCCCUGGCGGUCCUUGUGUUGUGUGGGGUGACGUUAACCUGGGACACGCCGUUAUUUGAGCAGUACCACGAGCACUACAUGUCGCACGCGAACUACCACGGUGUCGAUGUGUUUACAGAGGACCUGAACGCCCCAAACGGACCGGAGAAGGUGAUGGAAAGGUUCUAUGUGUGUUUUGGACGCGACGGGCGCAAGACCUACUUCAAGAAGCUGGACGAAACGUAUUUCUCCAAUAGGAGGUUCUGGAUUAUUACGGCGACUGGCAAGUUCGUGGCAUCUAUGAAGACUUGUUGAGCAGCGUGGUGGGGAUUCUAGCGAGAGAUUUCUUUACACAAGCGAGCAUUAGGAGGUCAUCGUAGCGAGAGAUCUCUUUGCACAAGCAAACAUGCACUUGGUAUCUUUGAGAACAUGUUGAGCAGUGAUCGUAGCGAGAGAUAACGUGGCAAAAGCGAACUGAUUUGGAUGUCAUUUUAGCGAGAGAUCUCAUUGGCCAUGGCGUACAAGCACUCUGGGGAUUGAGAACAUCCCAUAAGAUGGGAACGCCGAGAUUGCACUUAUGGCAGACGUUGUGAUCAAGCUAAAAUCACGUUAGGAUCACGUUGGGAUCAUGGAGGGGUGGUAUUUGUGCAAGGCAGACAAGGCAAGGGACAGACGAGUCAGUACGCCCGAUUAGGCGGGUAAAAAUCAAACUGCAUUUGUACAAGUCAGGGGACAGUUGCAUCAAACCGUUAUAAAAAAAAAGAAUGACUGUCCGGUCAGCGGUCCAGAAUUGUUUUGUGGGAGUUGAACUGCUGGCAAGCUAAUUUCUAACAUCUAUACUCAUGAAAAAUAUCAUUACUGGAAUUGAAUUACCUAAUGAUUCAUUGUUAAGAUAAAAAGCGCUAAACAACAGAUAGAGUCCACAGAC
Molecule: long non-coding RNA, 1121 nt
Organism: Nematostella vectensis (starlet sea anemone)
Lineage: Eukaryota; Metazoa; Cnidaria; Anthozoa; Actiniaria; Edwardsiidae
Exons: 2
Source: RefSeq, a predicted model, not a curated record